UAUACGUUGCCUCGGCGGAUCAGCCCGCGCCCCGUAAAACGGGACGGCCCGCCCGAGGACCCCUAAACUCUGUUUUUAGUGGAACUUCUGAGUAAAACAAACAAAUAAAUCAAAACUUUCAACAACGGAUCUCUUGGUUCUGGCAUCGAUGAAGAACGCAGCAAAAUGCGAUAAGUAAUGUGAAUUGCAGAAUUCAGUGAAUCAUCGAAUCUUUGAACGCACAUUGCGCCCGCCAGUAUUCUGGCGGGCAUGCCUGUUCGAGCGUCAUUUCAACCCUCAAGCUCAGCUUGGUGUUGGGACUCGCGGUAACCCGCGUUCCCCAAAUCGAUUGGCGGUCACGUCGAGCUUCCAUAGCGUAGUAAUCAUACACCUCGUUACUGGUAAUCGUCGCGGCCACGCCGUAAAACCCCAACUUCUGAAUGUUGACCUCGGAUCAGGUAGGAAUACCCGCUGAACUUAAGCUAU
Molecule: ribosomal RNA, 465 nt
Filed under: Fusarium sp. JTOC06
Lineage: Eukaryota; Fungi; Ascomycota; Sordariomycetes; Hypocreales; Nectriaceae
Description: eukaryotic LSU rRNA
Rfam family: 5.8S ribosomal RNA (bases 114-267)
Source: RNAcentral